AUCCUGAGUCAAGUUACUUCUUUAAAUCUGUGAAAAUAGUAAAAUAUAGAAUAAUGAGCUAGACAGCCUAGUAAGUAAUAUCUAUUUUAGCUAAAUAAAUUUAGUGGUAAUAAUAUAUAAAAAUAAGCAUGUAAGAUACGUCAAUUCAAAAUACAUAACACUAAUCAAAAUAAGAUCCAAGUGGAUUUAAUCUUUUAAAAAUUUACUUUCAAAUUUAUUUUCAUUCAUAAAUCAAUUUCUUUUAAAAUAUCUAGUUUAUCUUGACAGUGAUGAACUAAAUCAAAAUACUAGCAUACAACUUUCAUUGGUAGAGUAUCG
Molecule: long non-coding RNA, 318 nt
Filed under: Elaeis guineensis (African oil palm)
Lineage: Eukaryota; Viridiplantae; Streptophyta; Magnoliopsida; Arecales; Arecaceae
Description: long non-coding RNA (EGUI_LNC017333)
Source: RNAcentral